ACUCCUACGGGAGGCAGCAGUGGGGAAUUUUGGACAAUGGGCGCAAGCCUGACGGAGCAAGACCGCGUGAGGGAGGAAGGCUCUUGGGUUGUAAACCUCUUUUAUCAGGGAAGAAGAUCUGACGGUACCUGAUGAAUCAGCAUCGGCUAACUCCGUGCCAGCAGCCGCGGUAAUACGGAGGAUGCAAGCGUUAUCCGGAUUUAUUGGGCGUAAAGCGUCCGCAGGUGGUUUUUCAAGUCUGCUGUUAAAGCGCAGAGCUUAACUCUGUAACGGCGGUGGAAACUGAGAGACUAGAGUAUGGUAGGGGUUGCGGGAAUUCCCAGUGUAGCGGUGAAAUGCGUAGAUAUUGGGAAGAACACCAGCGGCGAAAGCGCGCAACUGGGCCAUUACUGACACUCAUGGACGAAAGCUAGGGGAGCGAAAGGGAUUAGAUACCCCUGUAGUCCUAGCUGUAAACGAUGGGUACUAGGUGUUGACCGUAUCGACCCGGUCAGUGCCGUAGCUAACGCGUUAAGUACCCCGCCUGGGGAGUAUGCACGCAAGUGUGAAACUCAAAGGAAUUGACGGGGGCCCGCACAAGCGGUGGAGUAUGUGGUUUAAUUCGAUGCAACGCGAAGAACCUUACCAGGGCUUGACAUGUCGCGAAUCUC
RNAcentral lists this ribosomal RNA (650 nucleotides) under uncultured bacterium. RNAcentral's name for it is "bacterial SSU rRNA". It matches the Rfam family "Bacterial small subunit ribosomal RNA", at positions 335 to 999 of the family's 1533-position model. The record is from RNAcentral.